UUAUACGCUAAUUGAAAUUGAUUACUAAAUAAUAUGAAUAAUAAAAAGAAAGCAUUUUAGAUAUCUUAAAUAAGAUAAAGCUUGGCUCUGACUUAUGAAUAUAGUAAUAGCGAAGGAAUAACACAUGGUUUUUAUGGAAAAUGGUGAGAUUAGAAAUAUAAAUAAUUUUAAAUACAAAAUUGGGAUUUAUUUAUUAUCUAAAGAAUUAUAUCUUAAAUGAUUCUAAGAUUGUACCACUAUACACCAGUGUCAAAUAUUAAUUAUAGGAGUGAAAACUUGCUUUAGAUUAGCUAAAAGAUUUGGUUAAUUUGGUGCCAGCAUCCGCGGUUAGACCAAAAAAUCGAAUUAUAUAAUAUAGGUAAAAAGAUAGUUAGGCAAUUAUUAAAUACUAGUUAUAAGAUUUUUUAUUAAAAGGUAAAAUUUAAAUAUAAAAAAAUAUCUUGAUUAAAACUUUAUAUUAUAUGCUGAAGCUAUGAAAAUUUAGGGAUAAACUAGGAUUAGAUGCCCUAUUAUUCUAAAUUAUAAAUUAAUGGAGUUAAACAUUUACCAGAGUAUUACGAGUUAAUGACUUAAAACUCAAAGGGCUUGGCGGUACUUCAUACCUUUUAGGGGAACCUGUCUCAUAAUCGAUAAUCCACGUUAUACCUUACCUUCAUUUAGCAAUACAGUUUGUAUACCGUCGUCGUUCAGGCAACUUCCAAAAAUAUAAAAGUUGACAAGAAAGAUCUUAAUCUUAGACGUCAGAUCAAGGUGCAGCCAAUAAGAAGGAGAGGAUGGGUUACAAUUAAAAAUUAUAAUUACGGAACAGAGAAUUAAAUAUCUCUACUUGAAGGCGGACUUAAAAGUAAGAUUUUGUACAUAAAUUUUUUGAAUGUGGCUCUGAAGUGUGCACACAUCGCCCGUCGCUCUCGUUGAAAAAUGAGAUAAGUCGUAACAUAGUAGGGGUAAUGGAAAUUGUUCCUGGAUG
This 967-nucleotide non-coding RNA is filed under the name Polinices sagamiensis. RNAcentral's name for it is "12S ribosomal RNA". The stretch from base 198 to 967 matches the Rfam family "Microsporidia small subunit ribosomal RNA". The record is from RNAcentral. Lineage: Eukaryota; Metazoa; Mollusca; Gastropoda; Littorinimorpha; Naticidae.